Molecule: ribosomal RNA, 123 nt
Filed under: Carassius auratus (goldfish)
Lineage: Eukaryota; Metazoa; Chordata; Actinopteri; Cypriniformes; Cyprinidae
Source: RNAcentral
GCUUACGGCCAUACCAACCUGGCUAUGCUGAUCUCGUCUGAUCUCGGAAGCUAAGCUAAGCAGGUUUGGGCCUGGUUAGUACUUGGAUGGGAGACCGCCUGGGAAUACCAGGUGCUGUAAGCU